GACGAACCGUGCGAAUGUUGUUCGGAAUCACUGGGCUUAAAGGGCGCGUAGGCGGGCUGUCAAGUCUGGGGUGAAAUGCCGCGGCUCAACCGUGGAACUGCCUUAGAUACUGACGGCCUCGAGGAAGGUAGGGGCAUGCGGAACUGUAGGUGGAGCGGUGAAAUGCGUUGAUAUCUACAGGAACUCCGGUGGCGAAAGCGGCGUGCUGGACCUUUUCUGACGCUGAGGCACGAAAGCUAGGGUAGCGAACGGG
Molecule: ribosomal RNA, 253 nt
Filed under: uncultured bacterium
Lineage: Bacteria
Description: partial 16S ribosomal RNA
Rfam family: Bacterial small subunit ribosomal RNA
Source: RNAcentral